AUUGAACGCUGGCGGCAGGCCUAACACAUGCAAGUCGAGCGGAGCGGCGGACGGGCGAGUAAUGCCUAGGAAUCUACCUGGUAGUGGGGGAUAACGUCCGGAAACGGGCGCUAAUACCGCAUACUAUCAGAUGAGCCUAGGUGGGCUUAGCUAGUUGGUGGGGUAAAGGCCUACCAAGGCGACGAUCCGUACCCGGUCUGAGAGGAUGAUCAGUCACACUGGGACGUAGACACGGCCCAGACUCCUACGGGAGGCAGCAGUGGGGAAUAUUGGACAAUGGGCGAAAGCCUGAUCCAGCCAUGCCGCGUGUGUGAAGAAGGUCUUCGGAUUGUAAAGCACUUUAAGUUGGGAGGCGGUACCAACAGAAUAAGCACCGGCUAACUACGUGCCAGCCGCCGCGGUAAUAC
This 407-nucleotide ribosomal RNA is filed under the name uncultured bacterium. RNAcentral describes it as "partial 16S ribosomal RNA". It matches the Rfam family "Bacterial small subunit ribosomal RNA", at positions 30 to 526 of the family's 1533-position model. The record is from RNAcentral.